UCUUGUAUCCAAAAAUGACCGUGGGUUGCCUGUGCCCCGGUCAUUAAUAGUGCAGGGGUAGGAGUGCUGAAAGGCAUUUUCCCUGCGUCGGCCCAGCCUUUCCUUUCAAACCCUGGAGCUUUCCCAUG
This is a small nucleolar RNA of Rhinopithecus bieti (black snub-nosed monkey), 128 nucleotides long. Its record names the gene SNORA71. It matches the Rfam family "Small nucleolar RNA SNORA71". Rfam says of the family: The members of this family belong to the H/ACA class of snoRNAs which bind a number of proteins (including dyskerin, Gar1p and Nop10p) to form snoRNP complexes. The record is from Ensembl. NCBI's taxonomy places the organism in Eukaryota, Metazoa, Chordata, Mammalia, Primates, Cercopithecidae.